Molecule: ribosomal RNA, 500 nt
Filed under: uncultured bacterium
Lineage: Bacteria
Description: partial 16S ribosomal RNA
Rfam family: Bacterial small subunit ribosomal RNA
Source: RNAcentral
AUUGAACGCUGGCGGAAUGCUUUACACAUGCAAGCCGAACGGCAGCACGGACUUCGGUCUGGUGGCGAGUGGCGAACGGGUGAGUAAUGUAUCGGAACGUGCCCAGUCGUGGGGGAUAACGUAGUGAAAAUUACGCUAAUACCGCAUACGAUCUAUGGAUGAAAGCGGGGGAUCGCGAGACCUCGCGCGAUUGGAGCGGCCGAUAUCAGAUUAGGUAGUUGGUGGGGUAAAGGCCCACCAAGCCAACGAUCUGUAGCUGGUCUGAGAGGACGACCAGCCACACUGGAACUGAGACACGGUCCAGACUCCUACGGGAGGCAGCAGUGGGGAAUUUUGGACAAUGGGCGAAAGCCUGAUCCAGCCAUUCCGCGUGCAGGAUGAAGGCCCUCGGGUUGUAAACUGCUUUUGUACAGAACGAAAAGGUUUCUACUAAUACUAGGAGCUCAUGACGGUACUGUAAGAAUAAGCACCGGCUAACUACGUGCCAGCAGCCGCAGUAA